Molecule: long non-coding RNA, 889 nt
Filed under: Citrus x clementina
Lineage: Eukaryota; Viridiplantae; Streptophyta; Magnoliopsida; Sapindales; Rutaceae
Description: Citrus clementina (C. clementina) long non-coding RNA (CCLE_LNC005836)
Source: RNAcentral
CGUCCGCCGGACUCGGAUUGGCGCGAGACAUUGCGAGGCACCUCCGUGUGCCAAAAAUAGGCCGCGGGCACAGCCGCGCCCAAAAAUAACCGCCCGAAGGUCGGGGCGCCACGUUCGUCCAGCGGACAAAGCCCACAAAAACGGGUGGGCUAUAGCCUUGGAGGGUAGGGCUGGCCAACUUCGUCCGCCGGACUCGGAAUGGCGCGAGACUUUGCGAGGCGCCUCCGUGUGCCAAAAAUAGGCCAUGGGCACAGCCGCGCCAAAAAAAAACCGCCCGAAGGUCGGGGCGCCAAGUUCGUCCAGCGGAAAAAGCCCACAAAAACGGGUGGGCUAUAGCCUUCGAGGGUAGGGCUGGCCAACUUCGUCCGCCGGACUCGGAAUGGCGUGAGACUUUGCGAGGCAUCUCCGCGUGCCAAAAAUAGGCCACGGGCACAGCCGCGCCCAAAAAUAACCACCCAAAGGCCGGAGCGCCAAGUUCGUCCAGUGGAAAAAGCCCACAAAAACGGGUGGGCUAUAGCCUAUGGGGGGUGGGGCUGGCCAACUUCGUCUGCCGGACUCGGAAUGGCGUGAGACUUUGCGAGGCGUCUCCGCGUGCCAAAAAUAGGCCACGGGCACAGCCGCACCCAAAAAUAACCACCCAAAGGCUGGAGCGCCAAGUUCGUCGAGUGGAAAAAGCCCACAAAAACGGGUGGGCUAUAGCCUUGGGGGGUGGGGCUGGCCAACUUCGUCUGCCGGACUCGGAAUGGCGUGAGACUUUGCGAGGCGUCUCCGCGUGCCAAAAAUAGGCCACGGGCACAGCCGCGCUCAAAAAUAACCACCCAAAGGCCGGAGCGCCAAGUUCGUCCAGUGGAAAAAGCCCACAAAAACGGGUGGGCUAUAGCCUUGGGGG